GAGGAACAGGAAAUGUGCAUAGGAAGCAGGAUACCCUCCAGUUAGAAGGUUUGGGCGUGUACUGGGAAGUGGUGAGGGCACAGCUGCUCCUUUGCUAACGCUAGAGGGCGCAUUGUGGGUGGAAGAUAAGAACACCAGACUGAGGAAGUCGUACUGCUCACUCACUGCGCACUCACGUUAAAAUGGAAUGAAAAAGUCAAAAGCUUGUGGACCACUGGGUGCUGAAGAUAAGAACUCUUCAAGGAUUAAACCUGUAUCUGAGACCAUCUGGAAGAACAAUCAGAUGGCAUUAAGGCCGUAACUGAGGAAUUUGGUUUUGCUGUUUCUGCCUGGAGCAGGAGUAGAAACAAAUAUCUUGCUGAAACCAAAGGAAGAGAAGGGCCCUUCAACAAUGAAAGUCUGACAAGUUUUCAGUGCUACAAAAACUUUCCAAAGUAAGUUCUGGGAAAAUACCC
Molecule: long non-coding RNA, 455 nt
Filed under: Fukomys damarensis (Damara mole-rat)
Lineage: Eukaryota; Metazoa; Chordata; Mammalia; Rodentia; Bathyergidae
Description: lncRNA (ENSFDAG00000023402.1)
Source: RNAcentral